This 75-nucleotide transfer RNA is filed under the name Chondrus crispus (carragheen). RNAcentral's name for it is "tRNA trnT(ggt)". It matches the Rfam family "tRNA". Rfam says of the family: Transfer RNA (tRNA) molecules are approximately 80 nucleotides in length. Their secondary structure includes four short double-helical elements and three loops (D, anti-codon, and T loops). Further hydrogen bonds mediate the characteristic L-shaped molecular structure. tRNAs have two regions of fundamental functional importance: the anti-codon, which is responsible for specific mRNA codon recognition, and the 3' end, to which the tRNAs corresponding amino acid is attached (by aminoacyl-tRNA synthetases). tRNAs cope with the degeneracy of the genetic code in two manners: having more than one tRNA (with a specific anti-codon) for a particular amino acid; and 'wobble' base-pairing, i.e. permitting non-standard base-pairing at the 3rd anti-codon position. The record is from RNAcentral. Lineage: Eukaryota; Rhodophyta; Florideophyceae; Gigartinales; Gigartinaceae.
GCCCUUAUAGCUCACUGGUAGAGCAUCUUCUUGGUAAGGAGAAGGCAAUGAGUUCAAUUCUCAUUAAGGGCUUAC